GGGCUCGUAGCUCAAUGGGAGAGCACCUGCUUUGCACGCAGAAGCGUGUCGGUUCAAGUCCGACCGAGUCCA
Molecule: transfer RNA, 72 nt
Filed under: Frankiaceae bacterium
Lineage: Bacteria; Bacillati; Actinomycetota; Actinomycetes; Frankiales; Frankiaceae
Description: tRNA-Ala
Rfam family: tRNA
About the family: Transfer RNA (tRNA) molecules are approximately 80 nucleotides in length.
Source: RNAcentral